Patiria miniata (bat star) is the source of this 230-nucleotide long non-coding RNA. RefSeq lists it as uncharacterized. The transcript has 3 exons. Lineage: Eukaryota; Metazoa; Echinodermata; Asteroidea; Valvatida; Asterinidae. The record is from RefSeq and is a predicted model, not a curated record.
UCGUGCCACGUAUACGACCGUAUAGAGGAGCAUGCGCUGCAGCGCAUGCAACGGUAUUCCAUGCAACAUGCAAAGCUGAAGGCAUGCUUGCCCCACAUUUUCUCAGCACUACUAGCUUCGUUUGAUGGUCGUUUGAUGCAUUGAUUAUGCUACAAUUUUCUCUUUCAAUGGACUCCCGAUGACACCCACAUCACAUGACCAGCUCCAACCAUGCUCCAAGCAUGCUCCAG